CAGGUCACCGUUUCAAGCAAAUUAACCCUAUACUAGUUCCCAAUUCUCAUCUACCUCCAAUCUGCAACUCCAAUUCCUUAAAUUCACCGUCUUCUAAAUCUUGAUCAUCGAUCAAGGCUGUUUUGUUGCAAUUGAAGCCGAAGCCGGCGAAUCAGAAGAAGCCCUUGAUCUCAGAGCAAUUUAGACUCGAUCCUUCAAUGUCCAGUACUAGGCGUUAUGUAUUUUUCAUCUCAGGCUUUUGCUUAAUGAAAAUCUACAUUUUGUUAUAAAUAGUCAGAGCUGAGUUCUGAUGAUAGUUGACAAUGCGUUUCCUCUGUCGCAUCAAUAUGAAUUUCGAUUGAUUUGGAAAUUGGCAUCGUUUUGGUUAGCUUUUGCCUGUUGCUUUUUAUGGGUUGUUUUCUUCAACAAGUAUUAGUUUUGGUGAAUUAUGUUGGGUAUUUAUGGGAUUCAGGUUUUGGUUAUGUUUGAUUAUUAUUGGGUUUUGAUGCUGUUCUUGAAAUCUCAUGUUUGGUUGCUGGGAAAUUGAAGCAGGACAAGAAGAGAGAAGAAAAUGCAGUGAACCUUUUUUGGUUGUUAGUUUGAGUUUAUUAUGCAAGUCUAUUGGUUUUACUGUUGUUGCUUGAAGAUUAUUAGUUUGAUUAUUGAGUUGGUAGUGCUAUAGGAAUUUUAGAUUGCCGUACUGAUGAGUUUAGGAAUUGACAGGAGAGGAAUACCAGUUUGAAGAAUUUGUGCAGGCGGAUUCCGAACUUCGCUCCCCAGAAGCAGGCAUAUCAAAGAGCCAAAUUCACAACACUAAGGCCGUGGAAAACUGAAGUUAUCUCGAAGAAAGUAGUCAUUGCACUUGGCAAGAGUGUAGCUGGAAGUAUCAAAGAGUAAGUUCAGAGUAUGGCAUAGGAAUGGAGGUGUCAACAAGUGGUGACAUCUAUAGCUAUGAAAUCCUGCUAUUUGAGAUGCUGAUAGGCAAGAGAUUGAUAUAUGACAUGUUUAAAGACGACCUGAACUUGCAUAAAUUUGUCAAAUAAGGCUUUGGCCUCCUUAUCCUAUUGGAUGGUGAUCAGAGCUGAGUCUUCUAGCCAUCCCAGCCAGCUUUUGAGCAACAGCACUUGGAGCCUAUUAUUGAAGAGGAGCUUUUGAACCAGCACAUGGACACUAUUGAAGAGCGUACGACUGGCUUUGAUUAUCCAACAAGAUGCUACCAGGCUACUUUGUUCUUGGGAUUUUAUGAUCUGUACCUAAAAUUAUGCCUGACCGGGACGGCUAGAAGACUGGGCUCUGAUCAAGAUGUUACCAGUAGACUUUGUUUGUGGGAUUUUAUGAUUUUUACUAAUUUUGAAUGCUAUGGAAACUUCUCUAAGUAUAUCAUGUCUUUAUUCAUUUGAAGUUCAGCUUCA
Long non-coding RNA from Rosa chinensis, 1391 nucleotides. RefSeq lists it as uncharacterized. NCBI's taxonomy places the organism in Eukaryota, Viridiplantae, Streptophyta, Magnoliopsida, Rosales, Rosaceae. The record is from RefSeq and is a predicted model, not a curated record. The transcript is spliced from 5 exons.